RNAcentral lists this ribosomal RNA (493 nucleotides) under uncultured bacterium. RNAcentral describes it as "partial 16S rRNA". The record is from RNAcentral.
UACUUCCCAGGCGGAGUACUUAAUGCGUUAGCUGCGGCACCGAGGGGGGUAACCCCCGACACCUAGUACUCAUCGUUUACGGCGUGGACUACCAGGGUAUCUAAUCCUGUUCGCUCCCCACGCUUUCGUGCCUCAGCGUCAGUUACAGUCCAGAAAGCCGCCUUCGCAACUGGUGUUCCUCCCAAUAUCUACGCAUUUCACCGCUACACUGGGAAUUCCACUUUCCUCUCCUGCACUCAAGUCCUACAGUUUCAAAGGCUUACUACGGUUGAGCCGUAGCCUUUCACCUCUGACUUGCAAGACCGCCUACGCACCCUUUACGCCCAGUAAUUCCGGAUAACGCUAGCCCCCUACGUAUUACCGCGGCUGCUGGCACGUAGUUAGCCGGGGCUUCCUCCUCAAGUACCGUCAAUAUUCUUCCUUGAGGACAGAGCUUUACGAUCCGAAGACCUUCAUCGCUCACGCGGCGUUGCUGCAUCAGGCUUUCGCCCAU